RNA transcript from Callithrix jacchus (white-tufted-ear marmoset), 10933 nucleotides. It is a transcript of the gene named family with sequence similarity 174 member B, with no coding region annotated. The record is from RefSeq and is a predicted model, not a curated record. Lineage: Eukaryota; Metazoa; Chordata; Mammalia; Primates; Cebidae.
CCCGGGAUUCAGCCGCGCGCGCCCUGCCAGGCCCUGCGCCGUCCCCACCGCACGAUGCGCGCGCUGCCGCCGCCCGCGCCGCUCCUGCCGCUGCUGCUGCUCGCGCUCCUGGUCGCUCCCGCCGCCCGCGCCAGCAGAGCUGAGUCCGUGUCCGCGCCGCAGCCCAAACCCGAGCGCGAGUCGCGGCCGCCGCCCGGCCCGGGCCCCGGGAACGCCACCCGGACCGGGUCUGGGGCGGCGGGCGGCGGCGGCGGCAGCUCCAACAGCAGCAGCAACGCCUUGGUGACCCGCAUUUCCACGUUCCUUCGCGACCUACCCACCCUCAAGGCGGCCGUGAUCGUGGCAUUCGCCUUCACCACCCUCCUCAUCGCCUGCCUGCUGCUGCGCGUCUUCAGGUGGGCCCUUCCGCCCUGUUCCUAUCCCCGCCGGCCCACAGGGCGCCAUCGCCAACCUGCUGCACCGUGCGCCCGCCCCACCUGCACGCACAGGUCGGGAAAGAGGUUAAAGAAGACCCGCAAGUAUGAUAUCAUCACCACUCCAGCCGAGCGAGUGGAAAUGGCGCCGCUGAACGAGGAGGAUGAUGAGGAUGAGGACUCCACAGUAUUCGACAUCAAAUACAGCAGGAAGAGGCUUCCAGCAUGGAAAGAACUGAUUUCAUAGAGAACCUGCAGCUGGAUCAAGUUCAUCCCAGAAAGGCGGACAGCGUGGACUACUGAAGUUUGGGGAGGGAUCAGGAAUAAUUUGAGGCCUGGGAUGCUGCUAUCAUUUUUCCAGAGAGUUUUUUCUUCUUCUGACGGAUGCUGCUGGCAGUACCAGCCUGGGACACUGUAAUCCAAGUUUACAGCUUGAGCUUCCCUGGAUCAACUUGGCAACACGAAGCUAAGCUCGAAGCCCAUGAGGGUCGGUUUACUUUGGGCUCACCCUGAUUCCGAGAGUAUAGCCCUUCAGGGUUAGGGUAAAGGAGGUGAGAGGACCUAUUUGGGUUCCCAACUUUGGUGGCGCUAGGCUGUGGCUUUUGUCUGUGAGCCAUCAGAUGGGCAGCACAGUUCAUGAGCUCAUUCAUUUGGAUCCACCAGUGGCCUCAAGGCAAAAGCAGCGCAGAGUGCUGGGUUCACUGUCCUGAGUUCUCUUCUCUUUGACUGACUCUGCCCCUUCAUUCCUCACUAUCUUGUUAUUCUCAUUAUCUCUUUGACGUCUGUAGGAAGACAGUUUUUUUUUUUUUUUUUCUUGGAGAAAUGUGGCUUUGUUUUGUUGCCCAGGCUCCUGUGCUCAAGCGAUCCUCCUGCCUUAGCCUCCCAAAUUGCUGGGAUUACAGGUAUGAGCCACAGUGCCUGGCCUUUAUUUAUUUAUUUAAAUGUCCCGCUCUACUUUCAUAACUGUCCUCAGAGGAUAGUUUCAAUGGCCUUGAAGGGGAAAUCUUGGCUACUUUUCUCCACCUUUGCUAACUUCAGAGGUGUGUACAGGCUGGCAAAGCCGAGUACAGCAGAGCCUUGGGGAGGGGAAAGGGCAGAGGGGAAGGUGGAGGAGGCUGGUGCAUCUGGCCUACCCAGGAGAGCCUCCAGAACUGGCAUCUACAUUCAUCUGCCAUGGAUUCCAUCUCUCUUGAGGGGCUUGGCUGACAGGGACAGCUCAGAAAGAGAGAGGAAGAGUCACAGUGCCGGAGUGGCCUGCAGACCUCAGAGGAUCAGAGAGGAGGGGUCAGGCAUCAGGGAGGCCCCUCUGCAGAACAUGCUGAUGGCCUGUGGGGCAGAAGUCUUUCUUUUCUAAUGAUUACCUCGGCCUUAGACUUUUACCAUUUUUGGAUGCCAAGGAAAAUCAGGCUUCUGAGCUUGCGAAGGCUGGGUGGAGUUCCUCGUGUUGCCUCUGGCCUUCAUAUGGCUUCCAGAAAGAAGCAUCCCCUUUAACUUCAUAAUACCACAGGUCUUUCAGUUUGUAAGAAAUCUAUCUAUUCACUUACUUAUUUAUUUCACAAAUAUUUACUGAACACCUGCUAUGUGCCAAGUCCUAUUCUGGGCACUGUGGACAUACCAGCCUCCAAGACAGACAAGAGAAAGCCCAGCCCAUCUAGAUUUCACAUUCUUAGGCAUGUUUCCCUGCAUGAGGAUAUGUUUAGAAAUCUUUCACCUGCCUAAGUCAUCAGGGUAAGGGUUUGCUCUCCUCGUGCCAGAGAUUCCAUAACUCCCUGCCAGGUUUACUUGAUUUUGUACAAGGAAGAUUUCCUCUGCAGGACUUGAAUUUGUAUUUGCCGAUAGCCCAAGGUGCAUGGAGUUUCUUUAGCUUCUAUCACCAGCCUUCUGGGAGUGGGCAGAUCUCUCUGCCACAGUUACACCUGCAGGGUGAGGCAGGUUGCAUAGCAAAGCAGAACUCAGUGUUGGGGCCCACAAAGCUUUCAUCAAGGGAAGAAUGCGGGUGGAGGGCGACAGGUGGGUGUUCUAGAUGGUCAGAGGGGGCCUGUGGCUUACUGCCUGGGUGUCCCAAAAUGUCAGCUAAGGGAACUACAGGAGAAGUUCAUUGAGCUGGAAUGUUCGGACCUGAGACCAGGAAAUGACUUUGCUGGGGUUUCGAUGUCUCUCUAACUUCAGAGGAGUACAGAGAUUGAAAAAACACUUGAUCCAGUCACAGUAUCUUCUGGAUACAUUCAUUUGCAUUCUCUGUUACACAAAUUAAGAAAUGGUAUGUAUACCAUAUUUGCAUGAUUACAAUUUAUUACUUCCCCGGGGAGCAGGGAGGGGCUGCCUCAGGUCUGGCGAAGCUCCUGUGCCCCAGCUUUAGAGGUAGAUGGGUGAGGCAAGGGCGAUUUCAUGCCUUCCUUGAGGCAAGAUGUCCUCUUCUAGACAAGGGGGAGGGCAGCUUGUGUGUCUUGAGGGCCAUGCUUCUCCCUCUACCCCCAUGAAUAAAGCAGUUAGUGCGGGUCCCCCAGGUGUGGCCAUAUUUGAGGAUAUCUGAACAGGCAUGCAGAGAGGCUAUAGGUCAGGUUUGACAGUUUGCUGCAUGCCAACACACACUUGGCUUGUGUUUUAAAAUGUAAGCUCUGGAAACAUCCUACAGGGCUCACGAGGACGCCUUAGCAGCUGACUGAAGGGAAGUGCCUGUCUCCAGCCCAGGUAGCAUUUUGCAGGUCAUGACUGGUGUUCGGCUGACAACAGUAGUUUUCUUUCUAAGACCCAGUUCCCCUCUGGAGGAAAAGCAUCAUCUCUUCUAGAACCCCUUUGUUUUUAUCUUUCUGAUACCCCAUUAGCAUCAUGUUGCUAUUCUCCAAGGAGCCUGGCAGGCAAGAACUGGUUUGGUUCCUGGAUUUGAUUGCUUUUGUGGAGUCCAAUAAAGAGGACCAUUGUUUCUAGGAGGUCACUGGAAACAUGCACCUGACUGUCUGGUCAGCACAAUGUUAGAGCCAGGGUGGGGCUGAAGGUGUCUUGAAGUCCUACUCUGAGCUCAGAAGACUUCUGUUAAUGAUUUCAGUCACAAUCAAACCAGGUAUGCCCAGAGCUGAGACACAGCUGAGCCAAGCAGGAAAAGAGGACAGUGUCCUACAAUAAACUGUUGAUAUGGAUCUGUCUCCCACGUGCUGGAUUCAUUAGGGCAAGGGUUGGGUUCCUCUUUAGUAUUCACAUCCAGUUCCUGUCGGUAGCUGAUCUACUUAGGGAACUCUCAGUAGGUUUUGUGAAUUAAAUUGUAUCCUCAGAUACCACCUUAGAAUUUCAAAAUCUGUGUUCAAAUUCAAAUGGAGAUACCCAGAGCAGAGGCCAACACCUCCAAAAGAGUUUGCAGGGAGUUUUCCAAUGUGUUACCCUUCGUUUACACUUCCACCUCAUUCUCUCUUUUCCUGGGUUAUCAAUACUCAGAAUUCUAAGUAGCUGGGUAUCUAGUCACUCCGUUGACUGAUAGAAGAAAACUCAGUUCUUUGAGAUUGUGUCAGGGUGGACCAAACUGUGGUAACAAAUAGACCCCAAAUAUAAUGGUUCAAACACUAUAGAUGGUUAUUUCUUUCUCACAUAAUAGUCCAAGGCAGACAUUCCAGAUUGCUGGAGUAGGGGCAGGAGAGAAAGUUUGGCUGCCUGCGUUCCUUCAGGAGAUAGGCUGACAGUGGCUUUGCCACAUUCCAGUAUUGACUGGCUCACAAUGUUGCUCUCACCAUUGUCAUUAUCAGUAUAGCCCAUGGGACCUGGGGAAGAACACAGAGGAGAACAUCUGGGAGGUCUUAGGGCCACUUGGAAGCAGGGUGCACCUCUGCUGCUCACGUGGGAAAGAACAUAGUCAGAUGGCCACAGCCAACAUCAUGACUGGAAAAUGGGGUAGUGGCUGGUCAACCACUUACCUUGGAAACGGAGGAAAAUUUGAGUGGCAGCAGAUGAGACUCAGGGUCUUGGAUUUGGAAGAGAUCUUAAGUGUGAACUCAUCCAGUGGCCAGCCCUGGACAAGCACUGGCCUUCUGGCUGGAUUGCUCCCUGCCCCCCUGAUGUAUCUCAGCUGACUUUCUGAUCCAGGAAUACUAAACAGCAAUCAGUGGAAACAAAAGAAGGAAGGGUUUCUUCUUUCAGAUACAUUCUCUGCCACUUGACAAAAAAUGGUGACCCAGAAGAGGGAGAAAAUAAAUCCAGAGAAGCUGCCUGCAUGGGAAACUUACUCUGUGUCCCACGUAGUCUGAGAUCAUGCCUCCCAGAAGGGCUAUGUCACUGAUGAUGUUAUAGGAUCCCUAGAAACUACAGUCACUGCUUGAAUCAUAAUUGCUGCUUCCAGUUCACUGUGGUUGCAUUUCUAGAAGGGUAACUAUUUUUUGUCAUUUUGGAGACAAGCCAGCAUCAACCCACAGGUGACUUUAGAAGGCCUUUCUGCACCCUAAUUGCCUACCUUCUGAAUAGGGGCUUUCUUUUUGGCUCGAUUGACCUAACUUCUUCUGUCCAUCCCAUUUAUACACACCCUCCCCACACCCCAUCAGAACUUUCUUAAGCAAACCCUCCAGUCCGGGCCUGCUGGUAUCUGUUGAUCAUUUUUGGACUCUCGUGUUCCUGCCACUGCCCUCGAGCUCCUAUUUCACCUCCUGGUGGAGACCACCCCAGUCAUCUCACCCCCCUGUAGGUCACUUGUGGGCACUUAUCCACUGCCUGGGUUAUUGCAUCUAUUUGUCCUGCAUUAAUCAUGUCUUCUCUGUGACAUUCUAUACUCCCUGAGCAUUUGGGAUUUGUCCUGUGUUCUGUGACUUUCUCAGGCUUCGGCGUGGUGCAGUGAACAUUCUGUACACAUUUCUGGACAAUGGAAGUCUUAUGAGAACCUGGGAGACUCUGCAGUGACUUGAGCCUGAGGUGUAGAUGAAUGUAAUCAUUGGAUGAUAGGGACUGAUAAAACCCCUCUACCAGUGGCUAGGAGCAGAAGACGGGACUCAGCAGCAGGAGAAAAGAGGAAGGGCUCCCAGCUUCACUCAGUGUCAGCGAACCUCACAGUAGCUGGGUCACAUCUGAACGGGCCACACCCUGGGGCCUUAGACUGUCUGGACAAUGGCAGGGAUGCUGCUAGAGGCUGAUUGUAUUCUUACCGGAAACACUCAGCUCAAUGGAUGGGACAACAGAUUCCCAAGGAGAUGGGGGAGCAAGGCCAAGCCAGGAAAGUGGGACUCGAGGAGGGCUUUGGGCCACCUCACCUACUUUCCCUGCCUUAUCCCCCUCAGGGGCCUUGCAGACAAUGCUUCUGGCCCAGUGAGAGUAAAGGGUGGGAUAGGGAGAGGGCGUCAUUCAUUUCUUGUGUCCGAGGUGAAUGGGUGUGAGAUGAGCUCACUCUCUUCAAGCUGGAACUUAAUGGGCUCCCAAGCUGCCUCCACACGCCAGCCAUUCAUGGAGUGGGUGCCAAGCUCAUCUCUAUUUGAAACUCAGAGUCUGUCUGGGAGCCCGGGAUUUCUGAGCAAUUGUUUUAUGAGGUAUAAAGUGUUUCUUCAGCAGGGAGGAUGACGUGGUGCAAGGCGAAGGCUCAGAACAGUCCCUUCUGCUGUGCAAAUUGACUUUGGACCUGGAGAGGAAACAGGAAAACAAGCCACAUGCCUCGUGGCAGGUUCCCUGGGAAAUUCCCUCCUCUCCUAAUGUCUUUCCCACAGGCACCGCCGACCCCAGUGGACUAUGAGAUUUUGCCCCCUCAACCUGAGAACCACGGAGGUAAUCAGGGUGAGUGCUGGAGAAGCACACAUGAUUCCGAAGAAGCACAAGUGAGGCUUUGGAGAGCUCUGUCUCCUGAAUGGUCUGCUGAGACCAUUCAACGUGUGCCUUUCUCAUGGCCCAGGUUCUAGCAGCACCUUUUCUCGUGUGGGAUCCCUCUUCCCUGGAAGCAGCUCUGCCAGAGCCCUGGGUGUUUACUGAGACGCACCACAGAGAAACAGGGAAGGAGGUCAGGUCCAUUGUGACAUGUCUGCGUUCUGGCCAUUUCUCUCUAACACCUAAGAAGAGGCUGACAGAGUGCCCGAGGGCCCCAGGGACACCACCCAUCUCCCAAGGGGGUGCUUUUUAGACUUCCACUGGCCAGUUAGCUGUGAGACGUGAAAUAAUUUAGUGGGCCUUGAACAAUGUGGAUUAAAAGGAGAAUGGAAAAUUUCAACAUGACUGGCACAUAGUAGGGUAAGCAUUGUUUUGUGAAACUUACAUUUCCUCUUUAGGUACACCGGUGGGUACAAUGCAUACCCACAAAAGAUGUAUUUCUUACUGGAGUCCUGGUUAAAAACACGUCUAAGUGAUUCUACCAGAGCACUUCAGCUGAUUCCAAGUAAUCAGGGAGUGAGGGUGGAGCACAGAAUGGCAGUGGGGAGGAAGGUCGCAGAAGAGCAGGCUGCGAUUUUGUGUGUGCCUCCUGAGCUAAACAUAGAUAGUCUCCCAACGCCUUGAGGAUCUAGGGCCUCUGGCUCAGCCUUUCGGGGCCGGGAAGACACCAUGAGCCUUGUGCUUUGUUUCUUGCAGCAGGCCCUGCCGAAAUUACCUGAGUCGGAAAAGCUGCCCUUUGGGAACUUGAACUAAAAGGACUUCAGCGGUUAGUUAUAAAACUAAAGGAUGUAACAAGUUCAUCCUGUAAUUUCCAAGAUGAGCAGACUGGAAGAAGAUAGCCCUGCUUGAAAGAAAGGAGAGAGGAGAGGUUGGCCGACCUGUCUCCUGAUCCCCCUCCCUUUCCCAGGUCUCCUUCUCUCUCUUUCCCCUGUCCCUAGCAGGGAAGGAGAUUAGAACAGGCAGCCUUUGGGGACUGUAGGACCCUCUUUCUGAUAGGUCGGUCAACAGUGGCCCAGGAAGACCCUAGGGGGGCAGCAAAUAGUGUCUCUGGGGGAGGGAAGAGUCCUCCACAUGGGAGCUUUGGUCCCAUGGCCUCACAUGGUUUAUGUCUCAGAGUGACAAGUGUCACCUGUUACAAGACAAAAGAGUAAAAAGCAAAGAAGAGUGGACAAAGGCAGAUCCUCAAGGGAGGUGGGGUCUGCAGGAUUCCCUGAGAGCCAAAAACGUGAAACCAGGGAGCCCAGUGGCACUGGUGGGUUUCUGAACACAGGCAUUCCAGGGCUUUGUUAUUUUUCUCCAAUGGAAACAACUUUAGAAUAUCAACUGUCAUAAUUCACCCAAGCUACAAGCUCAAACAUGGCUAAGAAACGUUGCUCAAGGUAAUUUCCAAAAGUGUGUUCUUCCAACUUUUCAAGGUCAGGGGCGGGGGAUUUGUGUUCUCUUCUCAUUUUUGUUUGUGUGUUUGCUUGUGGAAGAGGCCUCUCCAGGCCCAGUGUUUACCAGAAGAUGGGGAGAGUGGAAUUAUCUAUCCCCAGCCACUCUCCUCUCAAGGAAAACUGACGGGGAGUGAUGGGACCCUGCCCCACUUGUCCAUGUGAGAGGGAGGCAGGUGUGCUUGUACCGGAGAGAGUUCUCAAGGGGUUAACACCCCAGGAAUGCAUCUAUGCCAACUCUGCUUAUCAUGACCCCCCCCACCUUCAAAAUAUAUCUUAGGGUCACCACACAUGCCAGAAAGUGGCAACACGGGGCACCUCUCUAUGUGCUGAGCAUCCAGAGUCACGUUCUUGGAAUGCCUGACUAGCGUGUAAUUGAAGCAAAUGGAAUCUUUCCCAAAUGUCUCCUUUUACAACUGGAAAAAGAGAUGAAGAAGCAGAAGAAAAACAAAGCCAGAGAAAUAGCCUUUUCUAGGGAAGUCUGACCUCCCUGUCUGGAAGAGAAUAUGGAAAAUACAGAAAGCAUAAGGAGAAACAUGAAAAUCAUUCAUAACUGCACCCUUGGAGGAAGCUGGCCUCUACGUCUUGAUGAAUUUGCUGCCCUUCCUUUUUCUGUGUAUCUAUCUAUUACCUGUGAUAGUUUUUAAAACUGAUGUCAUGUUUUGAUAUAUUUUUGUGUUUUGCUUUAUCCAUUUAAGAUUAUAACAUGAAGGCCGGCGCGGUGGCUCAAGCCUGUAAUCCCAGCACUUUGGGAGGCCGAGGCGGGUGCAUCACGAGGUCAGGAGAUCGAGAUCAUCCUGGUCAACAUGGUGAAACCCCGUCUCUACUAAAAAUUGCAAAAAAUUAGCUGGGCAUGGUGGCGCAUGCCUGUAAUCCCAGCUACUCAGGAGGCUGAGGCAGGAGAAUUGCCUGAACCCAGGAGGUGGAGGUUGCGGUGAGCCGUUGCGCCAUUGCACUCCAGCCUGGGUAACAAGAGCGAAACUCCGUCUCAAAAAAAAAAAAGAUUAUAACAUGAGAACUUUCCCUGUGGGGGCUCUUCCGAAACCCGAUAUUUACUGACCACGCCAACAUUCUGUUGAAUGAGGGAGUGUCCUAAUUCAGUUAUUUAUGGUUUGCAGAAGCGUUGUGCUCAUUUACACUUUCCUUAGCAGCAUAUGAAGGUGCCUGAAUUCCAUCAUCACAAUGCAAUGGAAUUAGGGGGAAAUGCCAGUGAAAGAUGGAGAGAGAUGGGGCUGAAUGAGCAGGUGCCUCGGGCCAGCAUCUCUGCAGACAAGAGAGGAAGGAUCCUGUCGAAGGGUUUCCCACUGCUGCGUGAUUCUAAAAGCUUUGGGCAGGGGAUAGGGAGUCCCCAAACCAUGCCUGGUGGCCAUUCUGUGACAGGCAGGAAUGGAAUGCUAUGAAGACGCUGGUCAUUUUGAAGCAUUGGCUGGGGGUCACCAAGGGGUGGGUAGCUGGAGCUGUCAGUCAACUCUGCUUCCCAGGGGCAGAUUCUCUCAAAGGAGACCAGAGCUACACACCCCCUGGGCUCCCCCACGCCCACCCCACUCCACCUGAUGAACAGGGAAUACAACUGUGAACUGUGAAAAUGGUCUCAUUUGGCUGCUUUGCAUUCUUCUGAUUAGCCUGGAUGUCAAACAUUUCUCAUGACUUUGGUUACAUUCUUGUACUUCUAAGAGCUGUGUGCCUCGGUUCUCUGUUUGCCUGGGAUUGUUUUCCUGACUGAUGUUUCAAGAGGAUUUGCGGCAUUAAGGCUGUUAACUCUGUCAAUUUUUUCCCACUAUUUUAAACGAAUUUAUCCUUUCCCUUUAUAUUUUAUGUAGGAUGUUUGAAUACGUUUUAAAAUAACUUACUCUUCUGUUAAGAUUGUAAGGCCGGUUGCCUCGCCGGGGGCCAAAUGGACACACCCAUUCCUCUCAGUACCUGAAGACUACGUUAUCAUUCUGAGCGCUUUACUCAGCACCUGGCCUCUCCACGCGGGCUCCCCACACCCAUUUUCGCAUGCCAAUCUCAGUCCUGCACUCUCUAGGCACUCGGCCCCGCCGAAGUUUUUAAAAAAGCCGCUGAGACCUGCCCUAUGGCAGCUUGCCCCUACGCCCUCAACCAGCCCACCUGCCAGUAGCCCAGCCUAGCUGCCAACGGCAGACACCUCGUCCGUGCCCAGUCCCUUCGUAACCAAUGAGACUACCUCCGCUUUGUUUCCCCGCAGCCAUCAACUACCUCUACUCGCUAUAAACCCCCACGCCCUCAGAAGAGAAGCGCGACUUCUCUGGCCCCUUUCCCCGGGACCAUGGAACCUCGCCCAGGAGCCGAUUAAAUUUAUUUCAGUAACUGGCCUCAGUUGCCUCAUUCGAACCCUUACAAAGAUCGCUUUUUUUUUUUUUUUUUUUUUAAGACGGAGUUUCGCUCUUGUUACCCAGGCUGGAGUGCAAUGGCGUGAUCUCAGCUCACCGCAACCUCCGCCUCCUGGGUUCAGACAAUUCUCCUGCCUCAGCCUCCUGAGUAGCUGGGAUUACAGGCACGCGCCACCAUGCCCAGCUAUUUUUUUGUAUUUUUAGUAGAGAUGGGUUUUCACCAUGUUGACCAGGAUGGUCUCAUCUCGAUCUCGUGAUUCACCCGUCUCGGCCUCCCAAAGUGCUGGGAUUACAGGCAAAGAUCACUUUUAUUUACUUCAUGUUCAGAAAAUUCUUGCUCAUCCAGGCUCUAGUUAAAUACAUGCCAGUGUGAUAUAGCUGGCCUAGAAUUAGAACCAGUACAAUGCCAUUUUAAAAUGGGAAAACUGUUUCCAUUCUCCUCACAAUAACUGCUAGCCAUGGCUUCUGUAAUCUACUAAGAUUACCUUGCAAAAUGCAAAGAGAGGACAAGCUGCAUACUUUUAUCUGUAACUGCCAGAAUUGCUGGCCUUUGUUUACCAAAGUAAGCACCCCCAGAUAAUUCCAUCCUGGCGCCAAGUAACCUAAAAUUAUGUGGACUCCACACCUGUCCAAAUAAUGUAUAAACUAAUGUUUACCUUGACCUCUGUAAACCACUUAAGUGGCAAUCGGAAUGACAAAAGUCCCCUGGCCCUUGGAAAAUCUGGAGCCCCCUCACCCUCUUCUCAGCCUAGGAGGUGACUGACAGCUUUCAUUCCCAUCUCCGCUCCUCACCCCCACUCCCAAGGUGGUUUUGUGGGUAUAAAAAGGUCUUGUCACUCUUCUUUCUCUGCCACGGGUUGGAGAGACGUGAGUGCUCCGUGGUCGCCGGCAAUAAACCCUGCAAUUUGGCAUA